CAACAUUGAGCCUAAGUGAGGAACCAUUGCCAUGAGAUUCUAAAGAGAGAGAUCUAAGAGCCAUUGGGGAACUUUCCAAGAGCUUGGUUGAUUGAUUGAUUGCUUGAGUUUAUGCUCUAUGUGAUUGCUUAUUCCAAAGGAUGGGAGCUACUUGGAUCAUCAAUAUGAUCUCAAGAGAGGAACUCCAUUUGUGGUCUUAUUUCUUCUCCUUUAUCUCUUGUAUGAUUAGGACUUUAGCCAUUC
RNAcentral lists this long non-coding RNA (243 nucleotides) under Lathyrus oleraceus (garden pea). Its description in RNAcentral is "Pisum sativum (pea) long non-coding RNA (PSAT_LNC011515)". Lineage: Eukaryota; Viridiplantae; Streptophyta; Magnoliopsida; Fabales; Fabaceae. The record is from RNAcentral.